AUCUAGAGUUCCAUAUAGUUUUGAGACAAUACUUAUUGUGCAGAUUGUAAAUUAAAAUUUACAUUUAUAGAUUGACCUCAUGUAGGAGAGGAAGACCUUCUGGCUGACUACCUUGAUUUGUCAAUUUGGUGUGGAAUUCUUGUCUGCUCUUCUACUUGCUGAAAGGGUAACCCUAAGUUGAAUAUUCAAGUUCAUGUUCAUGGUCAAUUUGGUUUAUUUUAUGUUUUAUGUGUGUGAAUGAUGCUUUGAUUCGAGCAUUUUCUUCUUUUUUCUUAUGUUGUUCCUUAGGCCUUCUUUGUGACUGCUUCUCUUGUUUCUUCUUCUCUUGUGCUUGUAGUCUCAUUUCGAUGUACUGUUGCAACUCACUUCUCAUUCCCAGCAACAAGCAUGAAGACGCAAUCUCAAAGGGGCAAUGAGUUCACAUCCAGAAGAAUUGAAGAUAUUUUAUCACCCCUAAUGUUAUUAGGGGUCAAUUAUUUCAGUAGGAAAUUAAUUUUUGAUUAUGGCAUUUACAUUUGCAUUAUGGUGUUUGUUUCAUAAUGGUGAACAAUACUUUGUAUUGAACUUUUUUAUGUUACGAAAUUUUAUUGUAAUUUA
Erythranthe guttata (spotted monkey flower) is the source of this 597-nucleotide non-coding RNA. Lineage: Eukaryota; Viridiplantae; Streptophyta; Magnoliopsida; Lamiales; Phrymaceae. The record is from RefSeq and is a predicted model, not a curated record.